Molecule: long non-coding RNA, 728 nt
Organism: Gasterosteus aculeatus aculeatus (three-spined stickleback)
Lineage: Eukaryota; Metazoa; Chordata; Actinopteri; Perciformes; Gasterosteidae
Source: Ensembl
UGAUACGCACCUCCCCCUUCCGGGUUUACCUGGCUGCAGGUUCGGCAGACGCUCGGCACUCUCUGCAGGGUUGUGCAAAUUGUUCCACCGUGCAGGCGCUGGCAGGUCGGACUGCGUGUUUGCUCGUUUUGUCCCGGAGCUAUGCCACGCUGAGGUCCCGACUGCCCUGACCCGUUUUGGACUGCUGCUGCUUUGUGUGGGGAUAAAACCCACACUUUUUACGGACCUUGCCUGCUGCUGCGUUCGGGUGCUGAGGGCCUCACUGGUGAUCCUGUUUGGUGAUGGUGUCCCUUCGUGUGUAGUGUCUUAUUCACUCCCCUCCUUUGUUUUGCUUUGCCCUUGUGUGUUUGGAGUGUUAAUUUUGGAUUGUGGUGCUCCCAUUUUAAGUUUAUACUUUCACCCCUCACUCACCUUGAGCACAAAUGCCCCAGCCCUGGAAUACAUGAUAAUUUAUACAAAUAGGAUAACUUUUUUUAGAUUUGAAUUGUGCCCAAUAAACUGUUGUAUAUGCUUUUGGAAACACGUCUCUCGCCUGCUCAGUGUAACGAACUUGUGGUGUCCUUUUGUUUAGAUUUAGUAAUUUACCUUAUUCAUAGAUUUCUUUCUUUUCCCUGGGUGAUUUCUCCCAGGGUGGCGUUGCUGGUUUCCUUUAGUUUCUUUCUUUUUCCCCUAGUUAAAAACAUAGAUUAUUGGGGUAGUUCCUACCCCACCUCACGCUUGCCACACUU